Crocodylus porosus (Australian saltwater crocodile) is the source of this 76-nucleotide non-coding RNA. The record is from Ensembl. NCBI's taxonomy places the organism in Eukaryota, Metazoa, Chordata, Crocodylia, Crocodylidae.
AGUGACUUCCUAAAGCCAUAGUAGAAGUGCUCAUGGCGCAGCUCCGUCAGAUUCCAACGAAUCUGCGAAUUCUGCU